Molecule: ribosomal RNA, 1422 nt
Filed under: uncultured Maribacter sp.
Lineage: Bacteria; Pseudomonadati; Bacteroidota; Flavobacteriia; Flavobacteriales; Flavobacteriaceae
Description: bacterial SSU rRNA
Rfam family: Bacterial small subunit ribosomal RNA
Source: RNAcentral
UAACACAUGCAAAGUCGAGGGGGCAGCGGGGGAAAAGCUUGCUUUUUCCGCCGGCCGACCCGGCGCACGGGGUGCGCACCGCGUAUGGAACCCUGCCUUGUACAGGGGAAUAGCCCAGGGAAACUUGGAUUAAUGCCCCCGUAGUACCGUAUUUCGGCAUCGUUAUACGGUUAAAGCCUUCGGGCGGUACAAGAUGGCCAUGCGUCCCAUUAGCUGGAUGGUAAGGUAACCCGCUUACCAUGGCUACGAUGGGUAGGGGCCCUGAGAGGGGGAUCCCCCACACUGGUACUGAGACACGGACCAGACUCCUACGGGAGGCAGCAGUGAGGAAUAUUGGACAAUGGAGGAGACUCUGAUCCAGCCAUGCCGCGUGCAGGAAGAAUGCCCUAUGGGUAGUAAACUGCUUUUAUACGGGAAGAAAAAGAGCUACGUGUAGCUACUGACGUACCGUAAGAAUAAUGACCGGCUACCUCGUGCCGGCAGCGCGUAAUUCGGAGGUCCGAGCUUAUCCGGAAUUAUGGGUUUAAGGGUCCGUAGCGGCCGAUAGUCAGGGGUGAAAUCUGCCGCUCAACGUAGACUGCCUUGAUACUGUCGGUCUUGAGUAUAGUGAAGUUCCCGGAAUAUGUAGUGUAGCGGUGAAAUGCAUAGAUAUACAUAGAACACCGAUUGCGAAGGCAGGUGACUAACUAUAUACUGACGCUGAUGGACGAAAGCGUGGGGAGCGAACAGGAUUAGAUACCCUGGUAGUCCACGCCGUAAACGAUGGAUACUAGCUGUCCGGGACCUUGAGUUCUGGGCGGCCAAGCGAAAGUGAUAAGUAUCCCACCUGGGGAGUACGUUCGCAAGAAUGAAACUCAAUGGAAUUGACGGGGGCCCGCACAAGCGGUGGAGCAUGUGGUUUAAUUCGAUGAUACGCGAGGAACCUUACCCAGGCUUAAAUGCAUAUUGACAGGGUCAGAGAUGACUUUUCCUUCGGGCAAUUUGCAAGGUGCUGCAUGGUGUCGUCAGCUCGUGCCGUGAGGUGUCAGGUUAAGUCCUAUAACGAGCGCAACCCCUACCGUUAGUUGCCAGCAUGUCAUGAUGGGGACUCUAACGGGACUGCCGGUGCAAACCGUGAGGAAGGUGGGGAUGACGUCAAAUCAUCACGGCCCUUACGUCCUGGGCCACACACGUGCUACAAUGGCAGGUACAGAGAGCAGCCACGUCGCAAGGCGGAGCGAAUCUAUAAAACCUGUCACAGUUCGGAUCGGGGUCUGCAACUCGACCCCGUGAAGCUGGAAUCGCUAGUAAUCGGAUAUCAGCCAUGAUCCGGUGAAUACGUUCCCGGGCCUUGUACACACCGCCCGUCAAGCCAUGGAAGCCGGGAGUGCCUGAAGUCCGUCACCGUAAGGAGCGGCCUAGGGCAAGAUCGGUAACUAGGCU